UCCCUGGUAGCUCAGAUGGUAAAGCGUCUGCCUGCAAUGCAGGAGACCUGGGUUCGAUCCCUGGGUCGGGAA
Molecule: transfer RNA, 72 nt
Filed under: Bos taurus (domestic cattle)
Lineage: Eukaryota; Metazoa; Chordata; Mammalia; Artiodactyla; Bovidae
Also listed under: 3 other names
Rfam family: tRNA
About the family: Transfer RNA (tRNA) molecules are approximately 80 nucleotides in length. Their secondary structure includes four short double-helical elements and three loops (D, anti-codon, and T loops).
Source: Rfam by way of RNAcentral